GACGAACGCUGGCGGUAUGCUUAACACAUGCAAGUCGAACGAGAAGUUUUUUAUUGAACCUUCGGGGGAUAUAAGAGACAGACAGUGGCGAACGGGUGAGUAACGCGUGGGCAACCUACCUAUCGGAGCGGGAUAGCCUCGAGAAAUCGGGAGUAAAACCGCAUAACACGGAUAUAUCGCAUGAUGAAUCCGUCAAAACUCCGGUGCCGAUAGAUGGGCCCGCGUCUGAUUAGCUAGUUGGUAAGGUAAGGACUUACCAAGGCAACGAUCAGUAGCCGGUCUGAGAGGGCGAACGGCCACACUGGAACUGAGACACGGUCCAGACUCCUACGGGAGGCAGCAGUGGGGAAUAUUGCGCAAUGGGGGCAACCCUGACGCAGCAAUACCGCGUGAGUGAAGAAGGUUUUCGGAUCGUAAAGCUCUGUUAUUGGGGAAGAAGCAGGACGGUAC
RNAcentral lists this ribosomal RNA (450 nucleotides) under Pseudoramibacter alactolyticus. RNAcentral's name for it is "bacterial SSU rRNA". It matches the Rfam family "Bacterial small subunit ribosomal RNA", at positions 28 to 478 of the family's 1533-position model. Lineage: Bacteria; Bacillati; Bacillota; Clostridia; Eubacteriales; Eubacteriaceae. The record is from RNAcentral.